AUUGAACGCUGGCGGCAGGCCUAACACAUGCAAGUCGAGCGGAUGACGGGAGCUUGCUCCUUGAUUCAGCGGCGGACGGGUGAGUAAUGCCUAGGAAUCUGCCUGGUAGUGGGGGACAACGUUUCGAAAGGAACGCUAAUACCGCAUACGUCCUACGGGAGAAAGCAGGGGACCUUCGGGCCUUGCGCUAUCAGAUGAGCCUAGGUCGGAUUAGCUAGUUGGUGGGGUAAUGGCCCACCAAGGCGACGAUCCGUAACUGGUCUGAGAGGAUGAUCAGUCACACUGGAACUGAGACACGGUCCAGACGCCUACGGGAGGCAGCAGUGGGGAACAUUGGACAAUGGGCGAAAGCCUGAUCCAGCCAUGCCGCGUGUGUGAAGAAGGUCUUCGGAUUGUAAAGCACUUUAAGUUGGGAGGAAGGGCAGUAAGUUAAUACCUUGCUGUUUUGACGUUACCGACAGAAUAAGCACCGGCUAACUCUGUGCCAGCAGCCGCCGCCG
This 500-nucleotide ribosomal RNA is filed under the name uncultured bacterium. RNAcentral describes it as "partial 16S ribosomal RNA". It matches the Rfam family "Bacterial small subunit ribosomal RNA", at positions 30 to 523 of the family's 1533-position model. The record is from RNAcentral.